This is a long non-coding RNA of Haemorhous mexicanus (house finch), 4850 nucleotides long. RefSeq lists it as uncharacterized. The transcript has 3 exons. The record is from RefSeq and is a predicted model, not a curated record. NCBI's taxonomy places the organism in Eukaryota, Metazoa, Chordata, Aves, Passeriformes, Fringillidae.
AUGGCUUUAAUCAUCCUGAUAACAGAGCUGUGCUUUGUGCAGAGUAAGUCCUGUUUCCCUUUUUUCCCCCCUCCAUCAACGUGUUCCAUAUCAGCUUUCUCUCUGAGCUCAAGCCACAGAGGAUGUGGACAGUCAUGUUAUAUCCCAUUUGCUCUUCUGCUGUUUAAACAGGAAAGAUUAGGGUAAUGUCAUGUUACCCUUUAAAAAUACAUUGCUCUAACAAGUGUGCUUUAAAGACAUUUACCUUUUCAAAAAGAGGUUACAGGAGCAUCAAAUCAAUGCAAAGAGCAGUUAGAAUUGUACAUAGCCUACAGUUUUUGUCUUUAAAUCAAAGAAUGCCUUCAUACUGUAUUUUACCUUGCAUUUUCACACAGCUGGAUGCUUCGGAACAGAUCAUCUCCCAUUGUCUCAGAUGUGGAUUUGGCAAGGAGCUUCUGUGCUGAUCUGAAUUCUGGGAAGUCUGAACUCUGCAUGGUUUACUUCUGUCAGGAGGAAGAAGUUCACAGAUAACCUUAAUUGUGAUAAACAAUUUUCCAUAGCUAUAGAAAGUCAGUUGGACACACACCGAAUACUUUUUGCUUACUUAAGAGCAAUGACUCACAAAAGUCACUCACAAAAAUGAUGUGAAUUUCAUAACCUUUCAUUUCACUGGAAUCUUGUCACCAGCCCACAUUUAUGCAAAACCUAAAAUGCUUUCUGAGCCCAGUUAUGCCUUACAGUGGAAAAGCACAUCUGCCCUGGGCUUUAAACCCCUUUGUGGUGAUUAUCUCAUGCCCCACAGUGGGUGAGGGGCUGGGGACCCCAGGGUGUCUGCAGGGAGCUGAGCCUCUGCUUUGGCUCAGGUCCUGCUGCUCAGCAUGUGCUGAGUUCUAGGGAGGCUGAAAGUAAGAAUUCUUGCACAAAAAGCUCUCAUUCUAGGUGGUGGAUAAACUACAACUUCAUCCGUGUGCUUCCUUCAUAAGGAAUGCUCCUGUGGCACCAUUUUCUCUCGUUGCUUACUUGCAGUUUUCAUUAUCCCAGCUGCAAGGUUUUGGAAGACACACAGACACAUCAGCCUAAAUUCAUCCUGGCCACAAAUUCAGUGGAGUGGCAGGAGCAGAGUGAGGGAUGUACACACGUGCCAGUCUGCAGCCAUAGCACGUUGUGAAACUCUUGGGAGUGAGCAGAACUGUCUGGACUGAGGAUCUCUGGUGGUUUUCUGCAAUCUCAUCCUGUUUAAACUGAAGGCAGACAGUGAUGGAAUUCUUGUUUCAGAUUUGGUAAUACCAGCACUCGAGGAUCCGUGGUUCAGCUCAGAGCACGAAGCAGCAUCUCCUGGGGACAAGUUAAUUCAGCAACAGCUCUGAGGCACUACUGGCCCUGGAAGGAAACAAUGCAUCAGCUCCCUGGAAAGAAACCUUAAUGCCUGCUAUGAGCCUAGAUUUACAUGGUAAAAGAGACUACUAGCUACUGCCAUAAAGUAUAUGUAGGAAAAUGUUAUGGAUCCACAGGAAGAUGGUAGGGGUUAUAAGAAGAAUUUAUUAUUGUGGCAGUCUGGUUCUUUUCUUUUUCACUGAAUUGUGAAACGGAGUUUCAUGUUGAGAUGGAGUCAGUUAGUUGAGCUUGUUCUUAACUAUUUGUUACUGACUUUAGUAAUACAGAUUAUUAAAUAUGGCUGCAAGGUUUUGUUGAUCUUUUAAUUUUCAACAUACAGAACUGAAAGUUCAUACUGAAAAGUUGACUCUCAGUGUUUGUAAACACACACACAAACACAAAGAUAAUUUAUUUACACUUAACUGUGUCCUCAGAGAGUAUCUGCAUUCUGUGUGUGUGUUUUCUUUUUGUGCUGGGCUCUGCAAGGCCACCUAAAACAAAGUAAAAGAGAUACCUUUAUUUAAGAAACAGAGAUUUAACUCUUCAUAACUGAUGACUCCAUGGUUUUGGAAUGCUCAAGAUAAAUGGUGCUUUAUUAUUAUUAUGUUUGGUGCUUUUAGGAAAGUAAACAAGGGCAAGGACCCAAGGCUUAGGCUUUGCCUGGAGCAGACCAUGACUUGAUCUCUGUGAGCUGGAGCAGUUUGCAGCUGUGCUGUGGGGAGGAGGAAUGUCUGUGCCAUGUAACCAGCCUGCAGGAACCCUCUCAGGAUGCUGAGAGUGAGCCUGAGGCAGUGACACUGUCAUCAUCUGAAACCUCCCAGCAGGUCACAGCACAGGAAUGGGCCGUGUCCAGGUUCAUAUAAAUAACAAUGAAUAAACAAAGGUGUGCAUUUUGACCCAUGCUCUGCACAAAUCUGAUGUUUCCUAGUUUUACUCAUGGAAUGCAUUAUUUUGGAGAAAUUUUGUUCAAUACCAACAGAACUUUCUCAACUCAAAAGUUCUGGAUUAAAGAAAGCAUUUGGGAACACAAAAUGAAUCAUGUCAGUGGCACUAUGAAUGUAUGUUUUUUUCAUUCAUAAUUUAAGGCUCUUCACACAUUUUCUUUGGAAAGCUCAUGUUUCUAUUUUGAGGAUUCAAUCUGUAUUUUAAUGAAUCAGAAAGUGUGAAAGCAGUAUGAAAAUAGGUUGUUAAGUUUUGGGGGGAACUUUAAUUCAGAACAGUCUAGCAAUAGAAAAUUGCUUUCAAGAGGCUACAUCUUUGCAAAAUUUGAAGGGGAAAAAAGACUGGAUUAUAAUCUACAUAAACACUGAUGUUCUAAGACUGCAGAGUGCCUACCUGUGUCCUCAGAAAAGUGACAUGAAGUUUUAGUAUUUUCUGCAUCUAUUUCACAAUGAACAUAAAAAUAUACACUUACAGAUAAGAAUGAACACUUUCAUAUAAGUAGUAUAAAUUUCUUAGUAAAAAUGAGGAAAACAAAAGUAAUCUGAGUGACCAAAAGCCUGCUAAAGGAAGUUAGAAUGAAAGCCUGAGCUUGAUUUUUUACUGCCCAGGCAGUGGCCCUGAGGCUGCCCUUGGGAGGCCUGACGUGCAUCCAGGAAAUGCAGCACUGCAAACGACUUUGAUUUAGGAAUUUGGGGUGAUUUUUUACCCUCUGAACUUGGAUUACUGGAGGGAUCUCUUCUUUGUUUUACUUUUUCCAUCACAGGUGUGCUAAAGGAGGAUUUCCCAAAUGGUUUUGCCCAAAAUAUGAUGAGACUGAGAGAUGAACAUGGGCAUUCACUUGGUCCAGAAAUUACACAGACUAAAGUGCAUCUGUAAGAGUAAAACCAAUGUUCAAACAGGCUAAGCAAGAAUCUGAGGUGUGGUUCAUCCAAGGGAGCCACAUAGAAGAAAACACAAAUGCAAUUCAUAGAUGAAACUACGAUGAGAAGUGGUGGCAGCAUUGCAGCAUUAAUGUUUUAAUUUUUAAUGCAAAUGAAAUUACAGAUUUUCCUUCCCUUCUGGUUUUUGCAAUAGCAUUCUUUCAUAUAGAAUACAGUGUUAAAUACAAGGUUUGAUCAUUUGCUUGUUCAGUGACAUCUGAACAAUACUGGAUUUAUGAGAAGUCUGUGGUUUUAAAUGAGGUCUGCCAAGUGUUACAUUAAACAAUCAGCUAUGCCCAAGUCAAAGCCUGGGUUAUAGGGAGAUAGAACUCAAUGACCAUUACUGCCAACAAAUCAUCUGACCUGUUUCUGCCAUCAGUAUGCAGCUGAGAUAUCUGGUGGCAGAUUUUAAGUCACAAUGUCAACUUAAAACAAAAAAUAUGCCUAAAUGUCCUGUGACUGACAAUCAGGAAAGACCACAGCAUCACCAGCAAUUUUUCAAAGGUAGACAGAGCCUGUUUCAUGCUAACCAUUUAAUAGGGGUUCAUAGCUCUGAGGUAUAACAGCACUUUGCCUGUUACCAAACUCUAAACAAAACAGGAGAAGUGUCCCUUUUAAAAAAUCUUUGCUUAACCUAAAAGUUCUACCAAUAACUAUCCUCUUAUGGUGGAAAAAGAAUUAUUAAUAUGUCUUGCUGGAAAUCCUGGUGUGCUUUUUAAAUGUUUGCUUUGAAUUGCCAAUAUGCUUUUCUUUGGAGUCCUGCUUUUCUAGGUAGCAAAAUGCAAUAUUAGUUCAAUCAGCUCAAAUGCAGAGCAGACCUGUGAUGCUGGGUUUCCCAGCACAGUUAAUAUCAAGGAGCACUCUUGUGGUUUUAAAUCUGAAUUAAAUUUGCAGAAAUGAGGGGAAGACUGAGGCCUGAUUUAUGGGUACCUGUUAUGCCUUGAGGAGGUAGCUCUUUGUUUUCCUCAGGACUGUGAGACUUCAGACCAACCUGUGUGUUGGUUUAGACCAACUCAAAACAGAUGAAUUCCACUGGACAACUCAGGGCAGCUUGGCAAAAUAAUGCCAGUGAGAUCUUGGCUCCCUCUGGAAGAUAGCAGGAAUUUUGCCAUUAACAUCAUCUGGGACAGAUUUUUUCCUUUUGCUUCUCAUCCCUGCUGGAGUCUGCUUAAUCCCCUUUUGGGCCAGUGAGAUGGAGCAGCAUUGAAGAAGGUGUGGUGAUGUAAAGCAUCAGGAAUAAGUUAUAAAAAGUUGUGUCCAAAAGGCUGGAUAAAUAAUACUUUAUCCUAUGUCCAACUGCAGAAGGAAGAAGCACUGAUACAUGUAGCUCUUCUUUCCAGCACAGACAGAAAUACUUCCUACAAAUACAAAUACUUCCUAGAUUCUUAUAAUCUCCAAGCAAAGUUUCUCAAAAAUCCCUUUCUGUAAUGGAAAGACUUAAAACUAGAGUAGAGUUGUAGAGUUUUUUUCUUUAAAAAAAAAAAGGAAAAAAGGUGUGGGGGGGAGGAACACAACUGCUUAACAUAAGAAAUCACCUGUUUAUCAUAUAAAUCAAAUGAAAAAUCUUCUAUUUGCUAAUUUGCAUGAGCCAAGAUUUACACAUGGCAGAAUAAAGUGAAUUCAGAAUACAGAAAA